GAUUAAGUUAUUAAGGGCGCACGGUGGAUGCCUUGGCACUAGAAGCCGAUGAAGGACGUUACUAACGACGAUAUGCUUUGGGGAGCUGUAAGUAAGCUUUGAUCCAGAGAUUUCCGAAUGGGGAAACCCAGCAUGAGUUAUGUCAUGUUAUCGAUAUGUGAAUACAUAGCAUAUCAGAAGGCACACCCGGAGAACUGAAACAUCUUAGUACCCGGAGGAAGAGAAAGAAAAUUCGAUUCCCUUAGUAGCGGCGAGCGAAACGGGAAGAGCCCAAACCAACAAGCUUGCUUGUUGGGGUUGUAGGACACUCUAUACGGAGUUACAAAGGACGACAUUAGACGAAUCAUCUGGAAAGAUGAAUCAAAGAAGGUAAUAAUCCUGUAGUCGAAAAUGUUGUCUCUCUUGAGUGGAUCCUGAGUACGACGGAGCACGUGAAAUUCCGUCGGAAUCUGGGAGGACCAUCUCCUAAGGCUAAAUACUCUCUAGUGACCGAUAGUGAACCAGUACCGUGAGGGAAAGGUGAAAAGCACCCCGGAAGGGGAGUGAAAUAGAACCUGAAACCGUGUGCUUACAAGUAGUCAGAGCCCGUUAAUGGGUGAUGGCGUGCCUUUUGUAGAAUGAACCGGCGAGUUACGAUUUGAUGCAAGGUUAAGCAGUAAAUGUGGAGCCGUAGCGAAAGCGAGUCUGAAUAGGGCGUUUAGUAUUUGGUCGUAGACCCGAAACCAGGUGAUCUACCCUUGGUCAGGUUGAAGUUCAGGUAACACUGAAUGGAGGACCGAACCGACUUACGUUGAAAAGUGAGCGGAUGAACUGAGGGUAGCGGAGAAAUUCCAAUCGAACCUGGAGAUAGCUGGUUCUCUCCGAAAUAGCUUUAGGGCUAGCCUCAAGUGAUGAUUAUUGGAGGUAGAGCACUGUUUGGACGAGGGGCCCCUCUCGGGUUACCGAAUUCAGACAAACUCCGAAUGCCAAUUAAUUUAACUUGGGAGUCAGAACAUGGGUGAUAAGGUCCGUGUUCGAAAGGGAAACAGCCCAGACCACCAGCUAAGGUCCCAAAAUAUAUGUUAAGUGGAAAAGGAUGUGGCGUUGCCCAGACAACUAGGAUGUUGGCUUAGAAGCAGCCAUCAUUUAAAGAGUGCGUAAUAGCUCACUAGUCGAGUGACACUGCGCCGAAAAUGUACCGGGGCUAAACAUAUUACCGAAGCUGUGGAUUGUCCUUUGGACAAUGGUAGGAGAGCGUUCUAAGGGCGUUGAAGCAUGAUCGUAAGGACAUGUGGAGCGCUUAGAAGUGAGAAUGCCGGUGUGAGUAGCGAAAGACGGGUGAGAAUCCCGUCCACCGAUUGACUAAGGUUUCCAGAGGAAGGCUCGUCCGCUCUGGGUUAGUCGGGUCCUAAGCUGAGGCCGACAGGCGUAGGCGAUGGAUAACAGGUUGAUAUUCCUGUACCACCUAUAAUCGUUUUAAUCGAUGGGGGGACGCAGUAGGAUAGGCGAAGCGUGCGAUUGGAUU
Molecule: ribosomal RNA, 1504 nt
Filed under: Staphylococcus aureus
Lineage: Bacteria; Bacillati; Bacillota; Bacilli; Caryophanales; Staphylococcaceae
Description: partial 23S ribosomal RNA
Rfam family: Bacterial large subunit ribosomal RNA
Source: RNAcentral